CAAGCCAAGAACAUCAGCAAGACACCCCUGCUUGACCACCUUAUCCAGUCUGCAGAGGAGAACACUGAAGAGGAUGACGAGGUCCCAGGUUGGGAUAGUGACAUGGCCUCACUGCUACUGUUGGUCUACCUACUGCCACCACCUCCAAGUGGAAAGAAGGGAGCUGUAAAGAUCAGUACCCGAGAAGCUGUGGACCAUGUAGUCAAAUUUCAUAAGGAGCACUCUGGUCCAAACCAGCAGAGGCAGCCCUACAUCCUGGCAGUUGGGACGUCAAGAAAGCACAUCCACGAGUUCUACAUUGCAUUGGAUGGUCAUCUCAUUCCCUGCAAGGGCAAGUCUUCCCUGUCAGCCUUUGAUGAACUUUUCAAAGCACAUUAUGUUUUCGGCAUC
Long non-coding RNA from Fundulus heteroclitus (mummichog), 390 nucleotides. RefSeq lists it as uncharacterized. The record is from RefSeq and is a predicted model, not a curated record. Lineage: Eukaryota; Metazoa; Chordata; Actinopteri; Cyprinodontiformes; Fundulidae. The transcript is spliced from 3 exons.